AGAUGAGUUCUCCCUGAGACUUUAAGUCUCCUGAAGGAACGUUGAAGACGACGACGUUGAUAGGCCGGGUGUGUAAGCGCAGUGAUGCGUUGAGCUAACCGGUACUAAUGAACCGUGAGGCUUAACCUU
Molecule: ribosomal RNA, 129 nt
Filed under: Klebsiella pneumoniae
Lineage: Bacteria; Pseudomonadati; Pseudomonadota; Gammaproteobacteria; Enterobacterales; Enterobacteriaceae
Also listed under: 1 other name
Description: partial 23S ribosomal RNA
Rfam family: Bacterial large subunit ribosomal RNA
Source: RNAcentral